Molecule: small RNA, 1435 nt
Filed under: Pan troglodytes (chimpanzee)
Lineage: Eukaryota; Metazoa; Chordata; Mammalia; Primates; Hominidae
Description: retained intron
Source: RNAcentral
GGGACGCAUUUGACAUCCAGAGGUGCUACUGCAAUUACACCACAGAUGUGGUUGCCAGCGUCGCCUUUGGCACCCCGGUGGACUCCUGGCAGGCCCCUGAGGAUCCCUUUGUGAAACACUGCAAGCGUUUCUUCGAAUUCUGCAUCCCCAGACCUAUCCUGGUUUUACUCUUAUCAUUUCCAUCCAUAAUGGUCCCACUGGCCCGGAUUUUGCCCAAUAAGAACCGAGAUGAACUGAAUGGCUUUUUUAACAAACUCAUUAGGAAUGUGAUUGCCUUGCGGGACCAGCAAGCUGCCGAAGAGAGGCGGAGAGACUUCCUCCAAAUGGUCCUGGAUGCCCGACAUUCUGCAAGUCCCAUGGGCGUGCAAGACUUUGACAUCGUUAGAGAAGUUUUCUCCUCUACUGGGUGCAAGCCGAACCCUUCCCGGCAACACCAGCCCAGCUCCAUGGCCAGGCCUUUGACUGUGGAUGAGAUUGUGGGCCAGGCCUUCAUCUUCCUCAUCGCUGGCUAUGAAAUUGUCACCAACACACUUUCUUUUGCCACCUACCUACUGGCCACCAACCCUGACUGCCAAGAGAAGCUUCUGAGAGAGGUGGACGUUUUUAAGGAGAAACACGUGAGUACAAGUUGGGUCCAGUUACCCACGGGAUAUCCAUAGGACAAUUGAUUUUGUGUUUGUGGGAGUGAAACUUAUUUUUAAUGACUUGCUAAUAUCACAUUCUAAGCUUAUAAGAUGAAAUAGGGUCAUUGCUCGGCUUCUCCUGCUCUCCAGGUUAGCAAGUGAAAUGAAAUGUUGAGAACAAUAACCACAACAAAAAGACAAAUUGUGUGUGCACCUUCAGUGUCUGGGGUAGUCCAUGAAGCCGGGCCUGGCUCGAGGAAGUUGUGGAAGCCCAGGAAGGUGUCAGGCCCAAAGGGCAGGGAUGGGGAAGGAGUCGUGCCUUCCCAAUAUCUGACUUGGAGCUGCCACACGGAGGGAGGCAGGUGUGAGCCAGAAAAGAGAGCCAAGCUAGAAGGCAGGAGUAGACAAAAGGACAGGCCAAGCUGAAGCUGGACUGAAGACUGGAAGCUGAGGAGGAGGCUCACAAAUGGAAUAAGGGAAGAUGGGGCCCGUCAGCGCCCAGGCCAGCUUCAGGGCAUUUUCUUCUAGAUGAGGCCCCUCUUGAUCGCUUAUAGCAGAUAUAACGAGGGUGCUGAGCGAGGCUACUUUAUCACCUCAUUUUUUCCUCUAGAUGCUUGUGUGUGUAUAACUUUGACUCAUGAGUUGUCAAAGAGAUUCAUUUUUAAAAUCUGUGCUUUAAAAGGAAGACCACCACAGUGGAAUCCUUUCUGUUACAUUCUGAUAUGAUUGCUAUUACAUUCACCAUUUUGAAAGGUGGUCUGUUCUGUUACUGGAACCAUUAAAAAAUGUUUCAUACAAUGAACUGAAAACCA